CCUUCGUCCCCCUUUUUCACAAGUAUCGAGAUCGAAGAAAAAAUACCACGCGAUAUAAAGAAUUAUAAAAUAUCUCAACGUAGUGGUAUAGAAAAUAAUUAAUGCUGUAAUGACGCAGCCGGCACACCCGCCGAAUACAAGCAUCAUAAUCCACGCUGCUGCAGCUAAAGUUUGAAGUCGCCUCUCGAGCGGCGUAUUCAACGGAGCGAAUUUCACCCCUAGUAGUUCCAUUUUUGGUUCAGCUUAUUCUUCAGAUUCGGAGAUAGCGGCGCCUGAAGCAAAUCCUUCCAGUUUUAAUUGUCGAUAAUUUGAUCGGCACUCUUCGAUAAAUUUGUAUUCCACGAACAAUCCAGUAGAAUUAGAGAGCGAAUGUGGCAACACAUAAUU
RNAcentral lists this unclassified non-coding RNA (387 nucleotides) under Athalia rosae (coleseed sawfly). RNAcentral describes it as "misc RNA ENSAEAG00005002357.1". Lineage: Eukaryota; Metazoa; Arthropoda; Insecta; Hymenoptera; Athaliidae. The record is from RNAcentral.